GAUGAACGCUAGCGGGAGGCUUAACACAUGCAAGUCGAGGGGCAGCAUAGGGUAGCAAUACUCUGAUGGCGACCGGCAAACGGGUGAGUAACGCGUAUGCAACCUACCCUGUACAGGGGGAUAACCCGGAGAAAUUCGGACUAAUAUCCCGUAAUAAUAUCCGGAGGCAUCUUUGGAUAUUUAAAGUUUCGACGGUACGGGAUGGGCAUGCGUAACAUUAGCUGGUUGGUAAGGUAACGGCUUACCAAGGCUAUGAUGUUUAGGGGUCCUGAGAGGGUGGUCCCCCACACUGGUACUGAGACACGGACCAGACUCCUACGGGAGGCAGCAGUGAGGAAUAUUGGUCAAAUGGGCGCAAGCCUGAACCAGCCAUCCCGCGUGCAGGAAGACGGCCCUAUGGGUUGUAAACUGCUUUUCCAGGGAAGAAACUUACGCACGUGUUGCGUGACUGACGGUACCCUGGGAAUAAGCAUCGGCUAACUCCGUG
RNAcentral lists this ribosomal RNA (487 nucleotides) under uncultured bacterium. RNAcentral's name for it is "bacterial SSU rRNA". It matches the Rfam family "Bacterial small subunit ribosomal RNA", at positions 28 to 507 of the family's 1533-position model. The record is from RNAcentral.